GACGAACGCUGGCGGCGUGCUUAACACAUGCAAGUCGAACGGAAAGGCCCUGCUUUUGUGGGGUGCUCGAGUGGCGAACGGGUGAGUAACACGUGAGUAACCUGCCCUUGACUUUGGGAUAACUUCAGGAAACUGGGGCUAAUACCGGAUAGGAGCUCCUGCUGCAUGGUGGGGGUUGGAAAGUUUCGGCGGUUGGGGAUGGACUCGCGGCUUAUCAGCUUGUUGGUGGGGUAGUGGCUUACCAAGGCUUUGACGGGUAGCCGGCCUGAGAGGGUGACCGGCCACAUUGGGACUGAGAUACGGUCCAGACUCCUACGGGAGGCAGCAGUGGGGAAUAUUGCACAAUGGGCGGAAGCCUGAUGCAGCAACGCCGCGUGCGGGAUGAAGGCCUUCGGGUUGUAAACCGCUUUCGCCUGUGACGAAGCGUGAGUGACGGUAAUGGGUAAAGAAGCACCGGCUAACUACGUG
RNAcentral lists this ribosomal RNA (468 nucleotides) under uncultured bacterium. Its description in RNAcentral is "partial 16S ribosomal RNA". It matches the Rfam family "Bacterial small subunit ribosomal RNA", at positions 28 to 507 of the family's 1533-position model. The record is from RNAcentral.